GUUAUAUUCUAAGAUGGGCUGCACACAGCUACUGGGGGAACAUGAGAAAUAGCCUUUGAGGCAAACAUGGUCUCCAAAGGAGAUGGGACAAAUUCUUGUUCAAGAAAUAUCAUUUUUAGAUUUUGAAAAGACAAGGAUGGGAAUCGUUGGGGAAAUUUUGCAAUAUGAACUUCCUGCAUUUUCCCCAUAAAGGAGAAGAUCUGAACGCGUUAUUAGGGAUAUGGAUGUGUUUUUAAAUAGAAAUAAACAGUUUUGGGCGUUGCAAAGGCAGCACACGGGGCCCUCACGCAGUAUUUAUCUGCUGAGCAGCAAGCUUCCAACUUUAUAAUGACUUUCGUACUCUCCUUUCUGAUCAGGCUAGUAUAGAACUGAAAUCUAAUUGAUGUUCCAGUCUCAACCAGUCUGAUGUUUAGUACACCUGAAAACUAAAAAUUCCAACAAGCAAAAUCAUAACUCAAACCAAACUCUGGGGUCUUUUCAUAAUUGAAAAACUUCAAGUAUUGGUUCCAUGACAACACAUAUAUCAAAAUUCAAGUCUUGAUAUUGUAAUGAUGAGAAAAUGUAACCCACACAACAAUGUUCGUAAAAUCAUUGGAAAUUACUCUAGCUACCAUAACAGAACAUUCUUGCUACUAUAUUAAAACCAUAUGAAGAGUAGGCAAAGAUAAACCCAUCAUCGAAGCCUCCUAGCUUCUCUUUCAGACUCAAGGAGGGUAAGCACAUCCCCUUCUCUGACAGGUCCCUUCACAUUCCUCAUGAUGAAUCGAUUCUGGUCAUCAAGAAACUUGACUCUGACUUGAGUCACCUGCCCCCUCGAUCCAGUCCUACCCAUAACUUUCACCACCACGGCAUGCUUAAUCUGUGAAUCCAUCCUGAGAAGAUUGCAGAAGGAGCGAGAUGAAGAACAGCCGCUACGAUUUCUUGUCGCAACUCUUGCAAGGCGAGAC
Molecule: unclassified non-coding RNA, 947 nt
Filed under: Hevea brasiliensis (rubber tree)
Lineage: Eukaryota; Viridiplantae; Streptophyta; Magnoliopsida; Malpighiales; Euphorbiaceae
Source: RNAcentral